Molecule: long non-coding RNA, 269 nt
Organism: Saccostrea echinata
Lineage: Eukaryota; Metazoa; Mollusca; Bivalvia; Ostreida; Ostreidae
Exons: 3
Source: RefSeq, a predicted model, not a curated record
UAAGGAGGAGUAGUGUAAGUGUCAGAUGGGUACGAACGUCAUCUUGUGACAGCAUCACCUUUGUUUGGCUAAAGUACAAGAGAACUGCAGCAUCUAAGACUACAUGUACAUCGACUUUGAAUAAUCUACCCGGUAUAUCCUCAAAAAGGCAACUCAAAUACAGAAAGUGCAUAUAAUUUGGAAAAGAGACCAUCAAUCCACUGGGGGGUAUCGCAUGAAAGCAAUGAUUAUAGAAUAUUGUAAGGCUGGAGGAGUUAUAGUACAACAGG